This 497-nucleotide ribosomal RNA is filed under the name uncultured bacterium. Its description in RNAcentral is "partial 16S ribosomal RNA". It matches the Rfam family "Bacterial small subunit ribosomal RNA", at positions 28 to 507 of the family's 1533-position model. The record is from RNAcentral.
GAUGAACGCUGGCGGCGUGCCUAAUACAUGCCAGUCGAGCGAACAGACGAGGAGCUUGCUCCUCUGACGUUAGCGGCGGACGGGUGAGUAACACGUGGAUAACCUACCUAUAAGACUGGGAUAACUUCGGGAAACCGGAGCUAAUACCGGAUAAUAUAUUGAACCGCGUGGUUCAAUAGUGAAAGACGGUUUUGCUGUCACUUAUAGAUGGAUCCGCGCCGCAUUAGCUAGUUGGUAAGGUAACGGCUUACCAAGGCAACGAUGCGUAGCCGACCUGAGAGGGUGAUCGGCCACACUGGAACUGAGACACGGUCCAGACUCCUACGGGAGGCAGCAGUAGGGAAUCUUCCGCAAUGGGCGAAAGCCUGACGGAGCAACGCCGCGUGAGUGAUGAAGGUCUUCGGAUCGUAAAACUCUGUUAUUAGGGAAGAACAAAUGUGUAAGUAACUAUGCACGUCUUGACGGUACCUAAUCAGAAAGCCACGGCUAACUACGUG